GGUGAUUCUAAACUUGACCUUCAGUGACUGUAAGGGAAAUGACAAGCUACACUAUGAGGUUUCAAGCCCAUACUUCAAGGUGAACAACGAUGGCACCUUAGUCGCCCUGAGAAACAUAAAUGUGG
Molecule: long non-coding RNA, 125 nt
Organism: Balaenoptera musculus (blue whale)
Lineage: Eukaryota; Metazoa; Chordata; Mammalia; Artiodactyla; Balaenopteridae
Exons: 3
Source: RefSeq, a predicted model, not a curated record